Molecule: transfer RNA, 64 nt
Filed under: Streptomyces misionensis
Lineage: Bacteria; Bacillati; Actinomycetota; Actinomycetes; Kitasatosporales; Streptomycetaceae
Also listed under: 1 other name
Source: RNAcentral
GCCAGGCCGGGGAGAGAUCGAACUUGCGAAGCGAAGGUCGUCGGUUCGAGUCCGGCAGGGGGCU